AGAGUUUGAUCCUGGCUCAGGACGAACGCUGGCGGCGUGCUUAACACAUGCAAGUCGAACGGUAAGGCCCUUCGGGGUACACGAGUGGCGAACGGGUGAGUAACACGUGGGUAAUCUGCCCUGCACAUCGGGAUAAGCCUGGGAAACUGGGUCUAAUACCGAAUAGGACCACAGGACACAUGUCCUGUGGUGGAAAGCUUUUGCGGUGUGGGAUGGGCCCGCGGCCUAUCAGCUUGUUGGUGGGGUGAUGGCCUACCAAGGCGACGACGGGUAGCCGGCCUGAGAGGGUGUCCGGCCACACUGGGACUGAGAUACGGCCCAGACUCCUACGGGAGGCAGCAGUGGGGAAUAUUGCACAAUGGGCGAAAGCCUGAUGCAGCGACGCCGCGUGGGGGAUGACGGCCUUCGGGUUGUAAACCUCUUUCACCAUCGACGAAGGUCCGGGUUUUCUCGGGCUGACGGUAGGUGGAGAAGAAGCACCGGCCAACUACGUGCCAGCAGCCGCGGUAAUACGUAGGGUGCGAGCGUUGUCCGGAAUUACUGGGCGUAAAGAGCUCGUAGGUGGUUUGUCGCGUUGUUCGUGAAAUCUCACGGCUCAACUGUGGGCGUGCGGGCGAUACGGGCAGACUUGAGUACUGCAGGGGAGACUGGAAUUCCUGGUGUAGCGGUGGAAUGCGCAGAUAUCAGGAGGAACACCGGUGGCGAAGGCGGGUCUCUGGGCAGUAACUGACGCUGAGGAGCGAAAGCGUGGGGAGCGAACAGGAUUAGAUACCCUGGUAGUCC
This 783-nucleotide ribosomal RNA is filed under the name uncultured bacterium. RNAcentral describes it as "bacterial SSU rRNA". It matches the Rfam family "Bacterial small subunit ribosomal RNA", at positions 8 to 796 of the family's 1533-position model. The record is from RNAcentral.